This 432-nucleotide ribosomal RNA is filed under the name uncultured bacterium. Its description in RNAcentral is "partial 16S ribosomal RNA". It matches the Rfam family "Bacterial small subunit ribosomal RNA", at positions 29 to 506 of the family's 1533-position model. The record is from RNAcentral.
AAUGAACGCUGGCGGCAUGCCUAACACAUGCAAGUCGAACGAAACGUUCGGGUCUAUUGGUGCACGGGUGCGUAACGCGUGGGAAGAUGCCCUUAGGUUCGGCCUAACUAUCAGAAUGGGGUGAUAAUACGGGAUAAUAUCUUCGAACCAAAGAUUUAUUGACUUUGGGUGGGCAAGCGUUGGAUUAGCUCGUUGGUAGGGUAAAAGCCUACCAAGGCGACGAUCCAUAGCUGGUUGUGGUGGAUGCUCAGCAACACUAGGACAGAGACACGUCCUAGACUCUUACCGAAGGCAGCAGGGGUGAAUAUGGGACAAUGCGCGAAAGCCUGAGCCAGCAAGACCGCGUGAGUGAUGAAUGCCUUAGGGUUGUAAAGCUCUUUUACCCGGGAUGAUAAUGACAUAACCGGGAGAAUAAGCUCCGGCUAACUCCGU